RNAcentral lists this ribosomal RNA (421 nucleotides) under uncultured eukaryote. Its description in RNAcentral is "bacterial SSU rRNA". It matches the Rfam family "Eukaryotic small subunit ribosomal RNA", at positions 592 to 1010 of the family's 1831-position model. The record is from RNAcentral.
CAAUAGCGUAUACUAACGUUGUUGCAGUUAAAAGCUCGUAGUUGGAUUUCUGUAUUGGUUAGCAGGCCGGCUCUUACGAGUUGUAGCCUUGUUUAAUCGAUGCAUCUUGUCACAAUAGGUACUGACAUUCGCUUGUUGGUGUUCUGGACUGACUCGUUUACUUUGAGAAAAUUAGAGUGUUCAAAGCAGGCUAUCGCCUUGAAUAUAUUAGCAUGGAAUAAUGAUAUAGGACUUUGGUUCUAUUUUGUUGGUUGUUCGAGGACCGAAGUAAUGAUUGAUAGGGACAGUUGGGGGCAUCGAGUAUUCUGAAGCGAGAGGUGAAAUUGCUUGGAACCUUCGGAAGACUAACAACUGCGAAAGCAUUUGCCUAGGAUGUUCUCUUUAAUCAAGUAACGAAAGUUGGGGGAUCGAAGGACGAUUA